UCCGUAGGGUGCGAGCGUUAAUCGGAAUUACUGGGCGUAAAGCGUGCGCAGGCGGUUUUGUAAGCCAGAUGUGAAAUCCCCGGGCUUAACCUGGGAAUGGCAUUUGGGACUGCAAGGCUGGAGUGUGGCAGAGGAGACUGGAAUUCCUGGUGUAGCAGUGAAAUGCGUAGAUAUCAGGAGGAAUACCGAUGGCGAAGGCAGGUCUCUGGGCUGACACUGACGCUCAUGCACGAAAGCGUGGGGAGCAAACAGG
RNAcentral lists this ribosomal RNA (253 nucleotides) under uncultured bacterium. Its description in RNAcentral is "partial 16S ribosomal RNA". It matches the Rfam family "Bacterial small subunit ribosomal RNA", at positions 524 to 776 of the family's 1533-position model. The record is from RNAcentral.